UUUUUUUUUUUGUAUUUAGUCACACAAUAAGGGUUACGUGAAAUUUCAAUUAAUCAUGUUAAAUUAAUAAUAAAUUUACAAGAUAAAACAACAUUUAGUCUUUGAACUUGGUAACUUUUUUCACUUUAGUCCUUGAACUUUAUUUUGGUCUACAUUAAUAUCGGAACAUGAUAGUUUUUUCUUAAUUUGGUCGUAAACUUGGAUUUUAUUGACUUAUGAUGACAUGACACUCCAAAUGUUUUUAAAUGAUUUUUGUAUUUUUUAGAUUUUAUAUAUUUGUAAAAAAAAUAAGUGAUGAUGUGAUAUAAUUUUAAAGUGCCACAUCAUCACUCCUUAAUAAAAUCCAAGUUAAAUAUCAAAUUGAGAAAAGUUACCAAGUUUCUGGAUAAAUAUAGACCAAAAAUUGUUUGGAGACCAAGUUUAGAAGAAUAGUCAAGUUCAAGGGCUAAAUGUUGCUUUAUCCUUGUUGAGUGGGGUUGGAUCUUAGACCCUCAACGAAAGGUAGUGUCCCGCUGGAAGCACCUUAGUCGAUGUAAUUACGACAUGCAAGCUCACUUUCCAUAUGUAGACACUUUUUAAAUUUAUUUUAAAAGGAAUAGUCAUCUCUAGAGCUAUUAUAACAUGGCUCCAUAUACAUUAUGGUUAUUACUACAAUUAAACUACUUACGGUUUGACUCUGAUUAUAAACGAUUUAAAUGCAUAUCGUUUGAAGUUAUAAUUGUACUUGUAAAAUAAAUUUACAUAUAUUUACAUAUCAUUCAAGUGUUUGAUAUUUUUAUAAAAAGUUGUCACCACUUUAACACCAAUAACAAACGAGUCAUUAAUUUAGACUUACUCAUAAAAAAAUUAAAUUACGAGAAAAUAAAGGAGAAGGAUUAAAUUUUGAAUCUGUAGGAAGAGUAAAACUAAAAAUAAAGUCGCACUCUAAAUAAAUUGUCUUUGUUAAAUAAAAUACAUUUCCAUGGACUAAACAAUCACAUGUUACCAAGGGGCACUCGUGGACCUUGAUGUGCAACAUAUUUCUUUAUAUAUCCUCUGCUAUGAUUUAUAUCUUAGCUUUAUUUAGUGAGAGCACAGGUUUGGACCAUAUUAAUAAAAUUUAAAUAAUAAUUUAUUGUUUGAAAUAUAAGUUAUUUUUGCUCUGAUAAAAUGAUUAACUAAAGGCAAAAAGAAAUCCAUAUUUAAUAUGUACAAUUAAAAUACUUUUCAAAGAAAUGAAUGAAAGGGGGAGAGCUAAGCUAAAGGAAGAUGCCUAAUUUGCCGACUCAAAGCUAAACUUACUUGUGGCUUGUGGGAAUAUAGGCAAACUCGAGAAUUUCGGUCAAACUUUGGUGAUGCUUGGGCCCAACCGCAUUCAAAAUGUUAAACCUUGAAGAAUUUAAAAAUUCCAUUUAAUUAAUUUAUUUUUUUUAUAAUAAUUAAGUUAUAUAAGAUAUUAUUGAUAAAUAAAGGUAAUGGUUUGGUAUAAAGAGUUACUAAAAAUAAUGGUAAAAAAUUAUAUUUGGUCUUUAUCAUUUACUUUAGUGUUGAGACGAUGUAUUUACAAAAAGGGAUUAGUUUGGUAUGGUUUGCAACCUGUAAGUGCAAGCGAUAUUGUAGUGGAUGUCAACUAACAAUAUUGUUGAAGUUAAUGUGAAAAGACUGAAUAAUAUGUCAUCAAACUUGAAAGGGUGAUGAAUUGACCUAACAAGAAAAUUUCUCCAUGUAUCUUUUGGGAAAUGUGUUGGUCUAACAUAUGUGACGCGACUUUUUUUUAUUAUACGAAUCUAAGACUAUACUCUUGGUGAAGUCAAGAUCAAGUUUCACUAAGUUUUAUCUUUAAAUAUAGUUGUUUAGUGGCUUGAUGAAGGAUGAUGUGACAAGUAUAUAGUAAAUUUGAUCAAAUUCAAAAAUAAUAAACUCAAAUUCGAAAAUAAUAAUGACCCAAAACGGUGUAAACUUGUAAAAAUCUAAAUAAAUAAUUCAAAAUAUUUCAAAGUUUAAAAUAACAAAUUUAAAAACACUAGACUCGAAGAUCUCGAACCAAAAAUUCAAAUACCUAACCAAAUUUCAAAAAGCACCGACAAAAUGAAUUUUGAUAUGCCAAAACCAUGCUAUUUGCAUUACUUACAUAAAGGACAUAACUUUUUAUUCAGAAACCAAAUAACUUAAAACAAAUAAACAGAGUAAUAAUAUUCAAUAUAAGGAUAAAUGUGAGGAAUUAUCAAAAGUGCUACCCACAUGCUGAAUAACAAACCCAUAGAUUUUCCUCUUCAAUUUCUCAACCAUGUGAACCAAUACCUCAUCCCCUUUCAAAACCGCCCGGUCUAACCAAUCAUUGACCCGUUUCAAUUGUGAUAAAACCGCUGCAAUGGAACCACAAUCUAAUACUAAUGCUUUCAAGGACUCUUCGAUGAAACCAAUAAACCACAUUUGCAUCUCAACUUUCAAGUUCAUUGCAAAGUGCAUUGUCUCUUUCAUCCCUUCACCUCUAGUCCACAUUGCAGCAUUAUUAUUUUGCUGCAGCUGUGGGAUUGAACUGGUUUUGAGUUGGUUUUUGGGUGAAGCAUGCUGAGACAGGUUUAUUUGUAAAGCUGAUAGAGAUUCAUUGUUUUGAGGGGUUAGAAGGGAGACUAUUUCAAGAUCAGUUGUCACUGCAGCUUCAACCCAUAGAGAAGAUGAUUUCGAGUGUUCUUCGAUGCCAGAUUUGCAACCAGCUGCAACAGUUUCAGCAAUUCCAGUGUACUUUACGACAUCGUCGUAAAUGGAUAAAAAUCGGUCAAUGGUUGGCAAAGGAUUCCCAGCCUUGGAUUUAGAGGAAAGUUCUGAAAACAUGCUGGAACCAUAUAUGGUUGGGAGUAUAAAAUUAGGCACAGACUAUAAGCCUUUUAGGCCUAUGCAUCAAGUUAUUUGCUACAUUUAUUUAUAUGCUUAAUAUUGCAAUAUUUUAAUGGAUCCAAACCUUAGAUUCCUAACAAGAGACUCGGCAGUUAUGGCCUCCUCCAAUGCCUCUGCUGCAGUUUUAGAAGCAAGAACUCUCCUUUGCAUAGCUUCCUGCAUUCAUACAAUGUAUUUUGUUUAACUAUAUAUUUUGUUCUCAUUUGCUUAUCAUUAAAGUGUAUUCAAGUCUAUCAACAUUCCUGCAAAUCCCUAGGCAUUAACCCUAGAUUAUGUUCUAGAUCCAAAUCAAAUAAAGGAAUGCAGUUUAAGGCAUCAACAAUUGAAAUGCCUUGAUCUAUGAUUAGAGUCAUUUGCUACGGACAAAACUCCAAUGCUACAGAAAUUAUCUAAUAUUUAGGUAAGACUUUUAAGCACAAUAUCAACAGAGAGACCUUGAUGGUUUGAAAUACAUGUGGCCAAUAUUUUUUUAAAAAGUAAUACAAGUAUAAUUAUAAAUAAUAUUAUAUAAAGCACAACUUAACUGAAACUGAAAUAUAUCUUACUUGCGUCCAAUACAUAUCUAAAUAUGAGUAAAGAGAUGUAAUUCUCUAAAAACCCACCAAAUACAUGAAAUAGCUUCACUUUCACAUAACAUAUUUUGUUUAAAUCUAAACUUUUGGAUAAUAACAACAGUUCAACGAUGGUGACAAGCACUCAUUAGUGGCGAUACUAGUUUUCCCACAAUCAUAGCAUUCUACUUAUGUGUGAAUAAUGAAACUUCAAUACGGUUUCAACAGCAUUGAAAAUUUUGAAUAACCAAUGACAUUUGCUAACAACAAAGACUAGACACAAUUAGUACUAUUUACCAAGUGUUAAGCAUGAAAGUAUAAGAAGUUAAUUCUUUACUAGAAACUACAGCAUAUUUAUUUCUACUCUACCAAAUCCAUCACAUCACCUUUUUUUCAGUUUAGACAAGAUAAUAUCAGAAAGCAAGCAUCUUAAACAGGAAAUUGGAAUCAAACAAGCACUCUCUUAAUUGGAAAGCAAGCAGAAAAAGCAAAAAUAAGAUGGAUUUGAUAGCUUCUUGAUAAAUCCCGACACAACCCCAUACCUUUCCAAGCUUUGCAAGGUCAGCAGAAAGGGUAUCCCAUGAAACACUGCCAUCAGUCCAUUUCUUUUCAUGGACGGUGAUUCCCAGAGCUCCACUCCCACGUGCUGGUUUCUCUGCGGCAGAACCAUCUUUAGGUGAACUAGCUUUUCUUUUCUCAUUGCUUGAAGAAUUUCCAUCAUUGGAUUUCUGACUAUGUACAUCAGUUAAACGUCUUGAAAUGGCCGUCUGGGAAAAGAAAAUAUAUUGCCGAAAAGUCAGAAAAUUCGGCAACAAAGAGGCACAUAAAACUCAAAUUCUACAUGAUACUCUACUAGAAAAUAUUCCAUGCUCUCAUUCUUGAUUCCUUGAAAGCAUAAUUGGUUCUGUCUCCAGUUUCCAUUUUCUUUAAAUAGGAACCUUAAAGACCAUUGAAAACUUUUAACUAUUUUUAAAAGAAAAUUAAUGUGGGAUUUUCCAUUAGUAGUAGAAUGAGAAUAAAGAGAUUAUCUGAUGCAAUUACAUAUCAAUUUUCACAUAAGCCUAAUCUUCUUAGGAUUUUAGAGAUUAAUUAAUCAAGCUAGCAAACUAAGAAAGCCAACUUAAUUACCUGAGUCCGCAAAAUAGCUUGCAGAUCCGGCUUAGUCUUAACAUAAGCUUUCUCCUUCAGCUCCCCUGAACCCUUCUCUGGUUGCUCAUCCCAGCUCUUCCUACUACUCUUGGCAGAACCCACCAAAGCUUCGGACGCCUUCGAAAUCCCAGCAACAAUGGUUGCCAUCUUCUUCUUCGAAUCCCCUACAGCCGGCGAAACCUUCAACCCUCCGGCCAACCUCUUCGCCGGAGAAAGUGACGGUCUUCGAGCACCUGGUGAUGCUUGCUUCCUCCCGUUGGGAGAAGGUUGCCUAUACCUCGAAGGUACCAUGAUCACCGACUCUCUCCCAAUUUUCUUAUUAUCUUCCUUCCCUGCCAUCAAGCUCGGUACCAUGCAUUUCGAAGGUAACGGAGAUGCGGAUCUCUUUCCUUUCCCCGCCGGAGAAGGAUCUCUUUCCACAACCGCCGCACUGGUUUUCUUCACAGUCGAAACCGAACGUUUGGAAGCCACCGGAGACGAAAACCUUUCCGAAUUUUCAUUAACUUCGACGUUAUCUCUAGGCACGAGAGGCUGCUUUGUUCUAGGAUUUUCAAUUUUCGAAUCCUUAUUUCCACUUUGAGUUGGUUGCUCCAACUUCUUGUUAGACAAAUAAACUGCAACCGGAUCCGAGGAGAAUUCGGAUACGGGUUGUACAACGAAAUCCCUCUUGGAAGACGAAAUGCGAGCAAUGAGAGGGUCCGGUGAACCAACGAAAGCGUGACGACCAGCAAUCGGUCGGAUACCAGAGACACGUGGCACGGGAGAUUCAAAAUGGAAGCGAUCAACGUAAACGAACUGACCUAGCUGGAGCCGAUUGGAGAGUAUCAAUUCACUGUCGCGAUCGGAGAGGGAGACGUAGGUGGAGUUAAGGGAAUCGGAGAGUUGAACAUAGAAACCAUGGUUGGCCCAGAGUUCGUCAGAUCCGGCAAGAGCCGGAACGAUGCCGAUUACUUGGAGGAGGCCUGAACGGUGGUCGCCGGCGACACGGGCGGAGGAAUUCAUUGAUUGGAGGAGCUUGAGGAGGAUACCGGGAGUAAGCGAAGCCAUAACGAGGGAGCGUAAUACAGAGAGAAAGGGAGGGGCGUAAAGAAAGAGGAAAUGGAUUGUGGAGUAUUUAACCGUUACGAAUUACGAGAUUCAAAUUCAAAAAAGCCCGCUAAUAUUGUUUUUCCUAACUAAAGAGAAUCGAACGGCUUAUCAAAACUCGCCACGUCGCUUCUUCUCGUUGUACUAUGAUACCGGACGCAGCGAGAUCACCUCGAUGAACAAAAUCUACUGCUAGAUCGCAGCUUUGUUAUUAAUAUUGAUCAAAUACAGUGUUUAUCAGUAAUUAAAUUAUGAGUAAAUUUUUGUUUCGAUCACUCAAUUAAAUUAAUUUAUAAUUUAGUUAUUAAAUUAUUUAAUAAAUUUCAUUUAAAUCAUUAGUUAUUAAUAUCGAUGCUGUAUGGUUUUCUUUGUUUGCAUUACUUAUGUCAAUUAAAAACUCUUUUUCUCCAUGUCUUCUACAAUUUAAUUUUUUUUCAUAAAACAGCUUUAGACGUCACAAAUCUACAAACCAAAAUUUAGACAAUUUUUUUCUCCUAUCUCUGACACUGAACGUUAGAUCAAUUUGAAUCUAAGGUAUGUUUUUCUAUUCAUUGACAUAGGUCCACCGUACUGAUCGUUAAAUUGUCGCUUAAAGCUCGUUUGUGGAACUUAAAAAAAAAAACCUUAAUAGCCCAGUAACUUAAACAAAAAAUUUUGAAUAGUUCAGUGACUUAAAUAAAAAAAACUUUUGAAUAGUUCAAUGACAAAAUUGUGACUUUUUUUAGUUAAGUGACCAAAACGAAAACUUAUCAUAGUUCAGUGAUUAAUAGUAUAAUUUACCCUAAAAAUUAAAUCAAGUUACUUCUUUGUUUUAAAAAUUAGGGUUAAAUCGCUAUUUAAGGCUUGAACUGCAAUUAUUCACAUAUCGGGGCAUGAUUUUUUUUUUCUCCAAGUUAAGCCUUAAACUUGGCCAUUGUUCCCACAUUAAGGCUUAAACUAGGCAAGUGUUCCCACAUUGGAGCUUAAUUUCUUUUGUCCAAGUUAGUCCCUAAACUUUGCAAUUGUUCUCAUAUUGGAGCCUAUACUUGACAAUUGUUACCACAUUAAGGCAUGAACUUUAGGGGUUUUAAAGAAACAUUAUGGACUAACUUGGACAAAAUAAAAUUCAAGUCCCAAUGUGGGAGCAAUUGCCAAGUUUAUGUUCUAAUUUGGACAAAAAGAAGUCUAGGCCUUAAUAUAAGAAUAGUUGCCAAGUUGAAGGCCUACCUCGGACAAAAAAAUUUCAAGCUCUAAUAUAAGAAUAAUUGUCAAAUUCAUUGCUUAAAUUUUGAUUUAACCCUAAAAAUUUAUAAUUCAAUGGUUAAUAAGCCACAAAAAUUCAAGAAAUAGACAAAUGGAGAAUGUCAAGGGUUAUGGGUUGGGUGAUGUAGAAUUUGGGUUAAAUUUGAGUAUAAUAUUAAUACAUUUUAUACUUAUUCAAAUUUGGUUUUGCUUAAAGUAUGAGUUUGAAAGUUUGUCCAAAUCCGCUUAUAUUUAUAAAUAGUUAAUCCAAAUUUAUUUUUUAUUUUUUAACAUUUAAUACUUUUAUAUAUUAUUUUCAUUUAUUAGAAAUUUACAUACAAACAAAGAUAACAUUUUUUUAAUGUAAAAAAAAUUACAUUACAUUAUUAUAGGUUUAAUUUUAUAUAAUAUAUUACAAAUUUAUAAAAUAUGUUAGGUCAAAUUGGGCUCGAGACUAAUUCAUAUUUUUUAUUUGUACAAACUCAUACUUUAAAAUUGGAAUAAGUAUUUUUAUUCAACUAGUUUAGUUAAAAACAAUGGCAAGCUUUCUAACGCCAAACAAGAACUACAGGGAGCAAGUAUAUCCAAAGGGCAGAUUGAGCAUAGGCGAAUACCGAUAAUAUGAUGUAAAACCUUAGUUGGGCCAAUCUAUUUUUUGGGGAAUUAGAGUCCAAAUUAUUAAAUUUAAUUUUCCUGUAACCUAACUUUGGCACUCACUAAGAAGGUGAAGGGAUUAUUGGGGUUUAAAUAAACAAUUUGAACAUAAAUAGAAUUGAAAAGAGAAAAGUAAAAAUAUUUGCUUGUAAUAAUCAAAAGAAAAUAGAAAACUAUGUCUUUGUAGUUGGAGCAUUAGCUAAAGGUCUCUCCAUCUUAGAGAUUCUCUGUGUUGACAGUAAUUUAAUAGUGGUUCGUAAAAAUAAAAAGAAGGGUUUCUGAGGAAAAAGAAAAGAAAAAUUGUUAUUUACAGUUCGCUCCUUCCAUUUUACCGUACAAAUCCUUAAUUUCAGCUAUUUCUUCUUCUUCUUCUUCUUCUCACCUGAAACCUUGAUGACAAUUGAAGCUUGAGACCCAGCUUUGUCGAAUCCAUGUCUGCAAACAGCUUUUGCUUUUCUUUUUGGUCAUGAUUUACAGUAAGAACUACUUUUUUUCAAUCUGAAAUAGAAUGAACAUGCCAACACAAAAGCAUGGAGACACAACGUCCGAGGAUGUAAAACCGGGUUUUCUGCUGCUUUGCCAUCUACGAACACCGUUUCCUCAAACUGGGUUUCCGAGAUCGGCAACGAAGUUUCCUUUUGGAGCUUGAAACCAAGUAUGGAGUUGCAGCCAUGGCCGACUUUGCUUGGAUUUUGGUGGUUGUUGUUGUUGAUGAUGAAUCUACUUUGGAGUUUGAGGAGCACAACUACAAAAUGACUUCUUUUAAGGCCUACUUAUAUAACCACAACCUUAAUUUCAACUCACCUGGUUUGGUUCGUGGAGAUUUUAAAUUUUGGUUAAAAUAUGUUCUAAGUCUCUAUACUCUUAAAAACUUUAGCAUUUAGUCCUU
Molecule: long non-coding RNA, 8427 nt
Filed under: Gossypium raimondii (Peruvian cotton)
Lineage: Eukaryota; Viridiplantae; Streptophyta; Magnoliopsida; Malvales; Malvaceae
Description: long non-coding RNA (GRAI_LNC000005)
Source: RNAcentral